GCAUAACGCGAAGAACCUUACCCACCUUUGACAUGUACGGAAGUUGCCAGAGAUGGCUUCGUGCUCGAAAGAGAGCCGUAACACAGGUGCUGCAUGGCUGUCGUCAGCUCGUGUCGUGAGAUGUUGGGUUAAGUCCCGCAACGAGCGCAGCCCUUGUCAUUAGUUGCUACGAAAGGGCACUCUAAUGAGACUGCCGGUGACAAACCGGAGGAAGGGUGGGGAUGACGUCAAGUCCUCAUCGGCCCUUAUAGGGUGGGGCUACACACGUCAUACAAUGGGCCGGUAACGAAAAGGGCAGACCCAACCCGCGAGGGGGGAGCCAAUCCCAUAAAGCCGGUCGUAGUCCGGAUCGCAGUCUGCAACUCGACUGCGUGAAGUCGGAAUCGCUAGUAAUCGUGGAUCAGCAUGUCACGGUGAAUACGUUCCCGGGUCUUGUACACACCG
Molecule: ribosomal RNA, 444 nt
Filed under: uncultured bacterium
Lineage: Bacteria
Description: bacterial SSU rRNA
Rfam family: Bacterial small subunit ribosomal RNA
Source: RNAcentral